GGGCGCAGCGGCUCACGCCUGUAAUCCCAGCACUUUGGGAGGCGAAGGCAGGCAGAUCACCUGAGGUCGGGAGUUCGAGACCAGUCUGACCAACAUGGUGAAACUCCAUCUCUACUAAAAAUACAAAAUUAGCCAGGCGUGGUGGUGCAUGCCUGUAAUCCCCGCUACUCGGGAGGCUGAGGAAGGAGAAUCACUUGAACCGGGAAGGUGGAGGUUGCAGUGUGCCAAGAUCGCGCCAUGGCACUCCAGCCUAGGCAACGAGGGUGAACCAGGUCCAGGAAGAAGGUGCAAAGACAGCAUUCCAGGUAAAAGAAACAGCUUGAACAAAAAGUGUGUAGGGGAACCGCAAGCGGUCUUGAGUGCUGAGGGUACAAUCAUCCUUGGGGAAGUACUAGAAGAAAGAAUGAUAAACAGAGGCCAGUUUGUUAAAAACACUCAAAAUUAAAGCUAGGAGUUUGGACUUGUGGCAGGAAUGAAAUCCUUAGACCUGUGCUGUCCAAUAUGGUAGCCACCAGGCACAUGCAGCCACUGAGCACUUGAAAUGUGGAUAGUCUGAAUUGAGAUGUGCCAUAAGUGUAAAAUAUGCACCAAAUUUCAAAGGCUAGAAAAAAAGAAUGUAAAAUAUCUUAUUAUUUUAUAUUGAUUACGUGCUAAAAUAACCAUAUUUGGGAUAUACUGGAUUUUAAAAAUAUAUCACUAAUUUCAUCUGUUUCUUUUUACUUUUAGAAAUCACAUAUGUGACUU
RNAcentral lists this long non-coding RNA (744 nucleotides) under Homo sapiens (human). RNAcentral describes it as "non-protein coding lnc-OR4F17-5:1". The record is from RNAcentral. Lineage: Eukaryota; Metazoa; Chordata; Mammalia; Primates; Hominidae.